GGCAUAUGGUUAUUUCUCCUGGUUUGAUCCCCCUGUGCCUGAGCAUUUGAAGAAUGUAAUUCUUGGUUUGCUGUCAAGGCUUAAUGAGUAUGAAGUUGUAAAGAACAGAGGAGCCUUGAGUGUAAGCACAUUUUGUGGAAGAAUUAUGUUUGUAACAGUAGCAAUAUUAUUGGUUUUGGUAUAUUGGUUGUUGUGUUCAACUUGACUAUGGUUAUGGCUAAAGUUAUUUGUUGGUUUUAUUAAGUUGGUUACUAUGUGCAACUUGAUUGUGAUUUUU
RNAcentral lists this unclassified non-coding RNA (277 nucleotides) under Hevea brasiliensis (rubber tree). Lineage: Eukaryota; Viridiplantae; Streptophyta; Magnoliopsida; Malpighiales; Euphorbiaceae. The record is from RNAcentral.